This 221-nucleotide ribosomal RNA is filed under the name Escherichia coli. Its description in RNAcentral is "partial 16S ribosomal RNA". It matches the Rfam family "Bacterial small subunit ribosomal RNA", at positions 1 to 218 of the family's 1533-position model. The record is from RNAcentral. Lineage: Bacteria; Pseudomonadati; Pseudomonadota; Gammaproteobacteria; Enterobacterales; Enterobacteriaceae.
UUAAAUUGAAGAGUUUGAUCAUGGCUCAGAUUGAACGCUGGCGGCAGGCCUAACACAUGCAAGUCGAACGGUAACAGGAAACAGCUUGCUGUUUCGCUGACGAGUGGCGGACGGGUGAGUAAUGUCUGGGAAACUGCCUGAUGGAGGGGGAUAACUACUGGAAACGGUAGCUAAUACCGCAUAACGUCGCAAGACCAAAGAGGGGGACCUUCGGGCCUCUU